This 433-nucleotide ribosomal RNA is filed under the name uncultured bacterium. Its description in RNAcentral is "partial 16S ribosomal RNA". It matches the Rfam family "Bacterial small subunit ribosomal RNA", at positions 29 to 507 of the family's 1533-position model. The record is from RNAcentral.
AACGAACGCUGGCGGCAUGCCUAACAUAUGCAAGUCGAACGAGACCUUCGGGUCUAGUGGCGCACGGGUGCGUAACGCGUGGGAACCUGCCCUUAGGUUCGGAAUAACUCCCCGAAAGGGGUGCUAAUACCGGAUAAUGUCUUCGGACCAAAGAUUUAUCGCCUUUGGAUGGGCCCGCGUUGGAUUAGCUAGUUGGUAGGGUAAAAGCCUACCAAGGCGACGAUCCAUAGCUGGUCUGGGAGGAUGAUCAGCCACACUGGGACUGAGACACGGCCCAGACUCCUACGGGAGGCAGCAGUGGGGAAUAUUGGACAAUGGGCGAAAGCCUGAUCCAGCAAUGCCGCGUGAGUGAUGAAGGCCUUAGGGUUGUAAAGCUCUUUUACCCGGGAUGAUAAUGACAGUACCGGGAGAAUAAGCUCCGGCUAACUCCGUG